ACCUGGUUGAUUCUGCCAGUAGUCAUAUGCUUGUCUCAAAGAUAAGCCAUCCAUUCUAAUU
RNAcentral lists this ribosomal RNA (61 nucleotides) under Verticillium dahliae. RNAcentral describes it as "partial 18S ribosomal RNA". The record is from RNAcentral. Lineage: Eukaryota; Fungi; Ascomycota; Sordariomycetes; Glomerellales; Plectosphaerellaceae.